CCGGGGUCUCCACAUGACGGGUCGAUCGAGACCCUCUUCCCUUGCCGCCGCCUCCUCUCCUCUCCCUCGAUUCUCCUUGCGCCGCCACCCUCGUUCUGCAUCCGCGCCUGCUCUGAGCCCCUUCUCUUCCCCAUGCCGCCAGCCUCCUCCUCUGUACCCCUCCUCUUACCAUGCCGCCGACCUCCUCCUCUCCGCCUCUCCUUGUCGGUCGUCGCUCCAAUUCAUGGACCUCCUUGCCGCGGUUGUAGUGGUCGAACAAGACGAAGAGGAGCUGCAGCAUCGGGUCGGUGCAGCGGCCGGCUGCAGGGGCCUCGGUGGAAGAGACCAUCGAUGGCCGUGGACGGCACGGAUGACGACCAGCUGGUCUCAAUAUCCACGGAGGACGUCGUCCGGGCCUCCCGCCUUGUCAACAACGAGAUCCGCGUCCUCGAGGCAAGCCGCACCCUCCCAAACCUAGACCCCCUUGCUUCCGCGGAGCCAAGCAGGAAAUCUCAUGAGACUUGUUCCCUUGUUUUGUUUGUAGUUUUGGUUUAGGUCUGAUUGAUUGGCAUUUCUAUAUCACCCCUCGCUGACGAUGGCACAUAGGACGAGCUGCAGCGAAGGAACCUGGAGAGUGGAGAACCUCAAGGACUUGCAUCAUGAAGAUAGCAGUUAAAAGGACCUAACGGUGCUGAAAACAUACCUACCGAUGGAGAGAAGGGCACAAGAGGGACCGCUGAGCAUAAUGAUUCCAUAACUAGGCUAAAACAAGCAUCAUCAACUAAUGUUUCAGCGGUUGCCGCAAAGGCUAAGUCGCUGAUCAGGAGGAAGAUCAAUUUCUAUGCCUCCUUGCAUGUGCUACAAUGAUUGUUCUCACAUUUAGAAAUUGGAUUUAGUCUUUGGUUCAUGUUGAGGAGUUUGGAUUAUUGUGAGGACAACUUUUUGGAGUUUAGUUUACCCUGAGUAAUUGUUGUAGGAGUUGGGAGUGCUCUAUAUGCUCUGUGAUGACUACUUGCACUACAGGAGCCUCCCAACGAAGGUCAUCUUUCUCACCUUUCUACCCCUCCAGCCCCUCCCUCUAAAUCCCAUUGUAACUUUCAUGUGAAAGAGACUAGAUCAUGCAUAAGAAAGGGCAGAUUAGCAUUUCAUUGGUGCGUGCGCAUCGGCAGUGAGCUUUUGUGCUACUUUUAUUUCAGAGUGAUGACCAGUACUGCUAAUGUUGGCAGAUACUCUAUUUUAUUUUGUGUUGCACUUAGCUCAAAUUAUUAUAUUUUCUUUAGAUGUCGGGUGAAAAGAGGUACCAAUAGAAUAUAUACCAGAUACUGAUUAUCUGCGAAAAAUUCUUAGCAUGUGGCCAUCUAAACGUAUUUGUUUUUCUAAGCCGCACAAACCAGGUUCAAAGAGUUGUAAGAAAGGAGAACUACCUGAAAUCAUGUACCAACUACUAACGCCUACCAACAAUCAGGUCGGUUCAGAACCAGUCGCAGAAAAGAACCAACGGAAUUAUGCUCAUACAGCGAAUGGGAAGGGCAACUUUUAACCAAGAUGGCUUCUAGAUCAAUGUAAAAUAAUAGAUAUAGCUAACACUUGCAGCACCAUCUCCUUUCCGGUGAGAUCGGGGAAGUGGUUGAGGCCGAGGGGGUACGUGUAGACCCUGGUUUCGACCGCGGUGUUGUGUCGAUCGACGAGGCGAAAAUGGAAUUUUCUCAAAAGAAAAAGGGGAUAGAUAGAUUUAGUGUGCAAGUAUAACUAGGAUGGAUAGAUAGAUAGAUAGAUAGAUAACAUGUACUACCUCUGAUUGGCUUUUAUUGAAUGGAUUCUGACUGUUGUCUUGCACUAAACUGAACAAGUGCCCAUGCAGUUUCACAAUCUGAACUUUCAUUUCAUUAAACAAGAAAAGCGAGGUUGGUCAUCGAUGAUGCAUUUAUGGAUCCAUUUGAUGAUGAAUCCUAUCCCAUCCCAUCUUGAAUACCCCUCUCUGCAUUUCAAAGGUACUAGCUAGCAUUACCCUGUUUGUGUUUGUCGAUCAAGUUUUCAGAUCAAUAGCUAUUAUUUUUGUUCUGAAUGUUUUAUAUAUGAUAACUUUUGUACAUACUGGUGUCCAUAUAAGUCAGCUAUGUAGUCUUGAUAUUUCAUAUGUACCUUCAAUUUUUUUGCCUCAAGUAAUGAGAUUAAAAUAAGUUUUAUGUUGUGCAGCAAAUAUCUUGAGAGUGACCACUCCAAAACUUUAUGUUGGUAGGUACAUAUUUGAUAGCAUACUGUAGUCAAGGUAUAGUAUGUACUGUCAUUUUUCUUUUUGCGGUUAAAAUAUAUAACAGUUCAGUUGUCCAAGAAAAUUUUAAGAGGUUACUUCAGUAAUUUGGGUCGUUAGUUCGAGAAAACAUUUUAGGCUUUCCCUUUUGCUGCUGUUCAUGAGGAUGUCCCUUUUUCUGUAUAUUCUUGUGUUAAUUGAGAAAAGGUUAACCACAUUAUUUGGAGCUUUAUCUCAGCUCUUAUCUGUGCAAAUUGAUUUGUUGAACUUUUGGUGCAAGGAGAUCAACUACCUCUUGCUUGCAUUGCCUGUUAGAACGUUUUGGUGAAGUACUUUGGAACUAAAACCACGACGAGUAAUUUGGAACGGAGGGAGUAUAUGGCAAUGUCAGCUGUAAGAUUAGUUCUUAAUUGCUUAUGGCUUGUUACCGAGUACUUCUACUUAAUAUUUCUUAUUAUUUGUUCUCAAAUAUACCUAAGGGCACCAUCAUGUUUAUUUUUGUUAAUAAUAACUGACUUGACAUUAGAGCUUUGUCGUUUCGGUUUUGAUUUUUCCAAAUGGAUUUGCUUAUCAAAUGGUUGUCUCUCGGGUAAUGCGUGCACUUAAUUCAAGGAAAAGAUAUGAACGGGUAUGCAUUUGCAGGAAGGGGAGUACGUCCGCUGCUGUAUGAGAAAAAGUGCACGCAACUGAGGACCCAGGAUGCUAACGGUGCAGAGCCGUUCACCAUCGAGAGGACCAGGGCCACCAUCAGGAAUCUCCGGACCAAGCUCAACAUCACCAUCGCCUUUGUCAAAGACGUGUCCCGGAGGGUAGUUGCUGUCUGCGACGACUCAUCCAAAUGCUGGCAAGGAUGUGGCGAGUCAUUGGCGAUGUGCACCAGGUGACGAAGCGCAUAGCGGAUGAGGUGAGCGAGCUUCUCCCACAGUCGCCACACGGUCGGAGGCAUCAGAGGCACACCGCCGCCGCUGGGGCCUACACAUGCGCAAUUUCUAUUGUUGUAUCUUAUUAGUUGCCAUGCAGCAAGAUGCUUCUGUCGAUGGUAUUAUAUUGUUGUGUGUUGUCUGUGAUGGAAUAUUAUUUUCUUUCUCACGUGAUGUAUAAAUAUAAUAAGUUUAUCAAGAAUUUCAUAUCCAGAUCCAAAAA
Molecule: RNA transcript, 3373 nt
Organism: Triticum dicoccoides
Lineage: Eukaryota; Viridiplantae; Streptophyta; Magnoliopsida; Poales; Poaceae
Exons: 4
Source: RefSeq, a predicted model, not a curated record